GAUGAACGCUGGCGGCGUGUUUAACACAUGCAAGUCGAGCGAGAAGUUUUGAAAAGAUUCUUCUGAUGAAAUUUAAAAUGGAAAGCGGCGGACGGGUGAGUAACGCGUAGGCAACCUGCCCCAUACAAAGGGAUAGCAUUUGGAAACGAAUAUUAAUACCUUAUGAAACUUAACUAGUGCAUGCUAGGUAGGUCACAGAUUUAUCGGUGUGGGAUGGGCCUGCGUCUGAUUAGCUAGGUGGCGAGGUAACGGCUCACCAAGGCGACGAUCAGUAGCCGACCAAAGAGGGUGAGCGCCCAACUUGGAAGUGAGACACGGGUCGAAAACAUACGGGAGGGAGCGGUGGGGAAUAUUGCACAAAGCGGGAAAGCCUGAUGCAGCAACGCGGCGUGAAGGAUGAAGGCCUUUGGGGAGUAGAGUUCUGUUAUAGGUGAGGAAAACUGACGGUAACCAAGGAGAAAGCACCGGCUAACUCCGUG
This 479-nucleotide ribosomal RNA is filed under the name uncultured bacterium. RNAcentral describes it as "partial 16S ribosomal RNA". It matches the Rfam family "Bacterial small subunit ribosomal RNA", at positions 28 to 507 of the family's 1533-position model. The record is from RNAcentral.